GAUGAACGCUGGCGGCGUGCUUAACACAUGCAAGUCGAACGGUAAGGCCCUUUCGGGGGUACACGAGUGGCGGACGGGGGCGUAACACGGGGGUGAACUGCCCUGCACUUUGGGAUAAGCGUGGGAAACUGGGUCUAAUACCGGAAAGGACUAAGCGAUGCAUGUCGUGUGGUGGAAAGCUUUUGCGGGGUGGGGUGGGCGCGGGGCCUAAGAGCUUGUUGGUGGGGUGGUGGCCUACCGAGGCGACGACGGGUAGCCGGCCUGGGAGGGUGGCCGGCGACACGGGGACUAAGGGACGGCGCAGUGUCCAACGGGGGGCAGCAGUGGGAAAUAUUACACAGUGAGCGCGAGCGUGAUACAGCGGCGCCGCGUGGGGAAUGACGGCCUUCGGGUUAUAAACCCCUUUCAGCACAGACGAAGCGUAAGUGACGGUAUGUGCAGAAGAAGCACCGGCCAACUACGUG
This 464-nucleotide ribosomal RNA is filed under the name uncultured bacterium. Its description in RNAcentral is "partial 16S ribosomal RNA". It matches the Rfam family "Bacterial small subunit ribosomal RNA", at positions 28 to 507 of the family's 1533-position model. The record is from RNAcentral.